Molecule: transfer RNA, 73 nt
Filed under: Cordylochernes scorpioides
Lineage: Eukaryota; Metazoa; Arthropoda; Arachnida; Pseudoscorpiones; Chernetidae
Description: tRNA-Thr
Source: RNAcentral
AACCGGGGAUGGGAAUCGAACCCACAAUGUUCCGCUUACCGGACAGAUGCCAUGUCCACUAGGCUACCCUGGA